Long non-coding RNA from Cornus florida, 8662 nucleotides. RefSeq lists it as uncharacterized. The record is from RefSeq and is a predicted model, not a curated record. The transcript is spliced from 2 exons. Lineage: Eukaryota; Viridiplantae; Streptophyta; Magnoliopsida; Cornales; Cornaceae.
UAUUUAAUUGGCAUAGUAAUGUGAUAAUAGAAGAUUGGUCUGAUGAUGCAAAGACUUGCUGGGCACCAAAAUCAAGAGCGGCAACCGGAAGGGUUUUUUGUUAUUGCAUUUUAAAUCCCUAAAUGUAUACUUUUUUGCAUUUAUACCCAUAAAAUUUUAAAAUUGGCCCCACUGAAAUUAUAAAAAAACCUCUCUAUAUAACUGUCCCCCCUCAUAUGAAUUUCUAGAUCCGUCCAUGUAUAUGUGUGGUAGGAUAUUGUAUUGUGUAUCCUUUCUAGCAAUAAAAUUUCCUUCUAUUUCUCUUUGGGUAGGUCUCUUAGUGUAUACAUAUUUUAUACGGAGUAUUACGCUUUUUUAUUGUACUUUUAUAACAGCACAUGUAUUAUAGUAAGCGGGGCAAGGGGCACGUGCCCUUGAGCAUACACUGCCCUGACUUUAUAUGCAUACGGUAUUUUUUGCUCGUCACCCUAUAUAAUAUAUGCGUACUGCUAUUUCAUUUUGUGUCUAUAUAUAUAUAUAUAUAUAUCUACACACUUAUUGCUCUCAAGAUCUCUAGCUUCAAAGAGAAUCUGACACAAAAUUAAGCAAGGUUCCUAUGGCUUCUUCAUCUUCUUCUUUACUAUCUCGAUCAGAAUAUGAUGUAUUCCUAAGUUUCAGAGGGGAAGACACUCGUAAAACCUUUGUGGGCCAUCUCUACACGGCUCUGAAUCAGAGAGGAAUCAGGACCUUCAAAGAUGAUGAAAGGCUUGAGAGAGGAAAAUCUAUUUCUUCGGAUCUUGUGAAAAAUAUCAAUGAAUCCAGCAUUGCAGUCAUUGUUUUCUCCAAGAACUACGCUAAUUCAUCAUGGUGCUUGGAUGAAUUGGUGGAAAUUCUUGAGUGUAGGAGGACCAAAGGACUAACAGUUUUGCCCAUUUUCUACCAUGUGAAAGCAUCGGAUGUUCGAAAACAGAAGAGGAGUUUCGCAGAAGCAUUUAAACAGCACGAAGAAAUUCAUAAGGAGGAGACCGAAAGGGUGCAGAGAUGGAGGGCCACUUUGAAGGAAGCAGCAAAUCUAAGCGGGUUUGAUUUAGAACAUGCAGCAAAUGGAUUUUGCCAAUGCCAUAGAAGGGAGAAGCGACGGGGACACCGAGAGCUACGUACCAUCUAUUUUAUUUUGACUUUUGGGCAUUUUGGGAUUUUUGUGUGAAGACUAGAGCUCGAAUUUGGAGGCGGUCGUAGCAGGAUUUUUCGCUCUCCAUGCUUAAUUUCCUCUUCGACCCCCCGAAGUUGUGUCGCAUUCGGAGCACUUUCGUUUUGGUAUUUUGGGGUUUUCACCUCAAAGAGAGGUAGGGGGUGUGUUGUGCAUGCACAUGUGUAUGUGUGUGUGUGUUGGAUUAGAUAACUUAUAUUGUGACAGAAAAUGUAUAAGAAUGAUGAUUUGAUGAUUUAAAUGUUGCAAUCUCAUGUAUAGUAUGUUUAACAGAGUAGUAAUUGCAAUCAUAGGUGGUCGCCAAUGUGGUUUCAUUUGAAAUGUGCUCAUCUCUAAUUAUUGGUGCUUUAUUUCUCUCUCUCUCUCUCACACACACACAUACACACACACACACAUAUAUAUAUAUAUAUAUAUAUAUAUAUAUAUGAUAGUGUGGUUAUUGUUUCGACAAUCACCUAUGCUUGAACAAAGUAAAAUAAAAGCAAUAAUAGCCUCGAGAAGGAUUAUCCAAAAUAGAAAUAAAACUAAACUAUAAAGUGCACAAUUAGAAGUUCAAGAGUUUGAGAUAUGCUCACAAACGGCCAAAGCAAAACCGUGAUUCCCAAGCUUACUCCUCCCUCAAUCAAGUACCUACAAUUGCACAAAAAUAAACAAUAGGCAAAUGAUAUACAAAAAGUCCUAAACUAACAAUAAAAUGAGCACUAAUUUUAAAUUGAAUCAAUUGAACCGUUGUCCUUAGCCACAGUGUCAAAAAUUGAUGGUUUGUGAUCGAAACUUUGAUUUUAAAUUUAUAUAACCACUACUACGUAGGAUAACGAAGCAUGUGGUCCAACACAAGGACUAUAAGCUUAAUCCAAAUUCAAUAUUAAUGAUCAAAUGACAAGAAGUAUAGUUUGGAUGGUUCCUAAUUAAUAACUAGAAUUAAAUCUAUCUAAAAUGUAAAUAACUAGAUUGAUAAUGAAAAAGACAAUAUAAGAGAGAGACUUAGGGCAUGAAAUCCACCUUUAAGCCUUACAAUUAUAUCAAUGCAAUGAGAUAAAUUGUGCAUACAAAGAUUGUGGCUACAAAGACACAAUUGAGAUCAAGAUAAUGCUAUAAUUAACAUCAACAAGCAUGAAUUAUCAAAGCUAAGAAUGAAUUAUUUACUUACCUACAUCUAAUCUAACAUUUGUAGUACAAUUCAUUAAAACUAAACAUAAAUCAUCAAGUUGUAUGCAAUUAUAUCCAAUUAGCACCAUUGUGUAACCAUCAUCUACACAAUUACAUAACCAUCAUCUACACAAUUACAUAACCAUCAUCUACACAAUUACAAGAAGUGGAAAUGUAGAGUUUAACCUUCAACAAUCAAUACAUAAGACAACAUAGAGAUUAGAAAAGACCAAUUCAAGCAUUUAAACACAAUCAAGCUUGGUACAACCAAGAUUAAUCCUCUGGGUUACACAAUCUAUAGACAAAUAUAAAAAUCUCCAGAUUAAAAGAUAAUGAUACAAUUACAUAGGGCUUCAUCCAAGCCCUAAGAAGGAAAGAAACUAGCUAGCCAUGGAGAUGUUGAGGAUCAUCUUUGCAGCUUUAAUCUUCAUCUCAUAGCACUACCAAAGCUUCUUCUACAAUCUUCAAGAGCAAAUGAGAGAGAAAAUGUAGAGAGAGCUCAAGCUUUGAUCCAAAAUCCAAAUCCCUUUCAAAAUUGCUUGAUUUUUAUAUUUAUACUUGACUCUUGGGCUGCCAAAUUAUCAUAAAAUGUACAUAAGGCUCGUCAAUUGGAUGCACCAUGGACUUCGUUUAAGGAAAAUGUCAUAUCAAAAUUUGAGAGUCAUGUCUUGUGAAUACAACCAGUCGCGUUUAAGAUGCGAUCAAUCGAGAAGCGAUCUAUCCCACUCUACUCACGAUCGAUCGCAUGCCUCUAAUUUUUGCACUUCAGCUUCUUUUUGCUUCCCUUCUUUGCCAAGACUCCGUUGAAGCUUCCUAAGAGCUUUACGAGAUUGGAUUUAGCCCAUUUAAGCCAUAAGAACCUAAAAUCGACAAUAAAGUGAAUUAAAACUAAAAAGAUGAAUAAAGAUAGAAAUAAGGUGCCAACAUAUGUACGAAUAAAGGCCGAAAUGUGCAUCUUUCGGCAUUUAUUACACCCUCAAACUUACAUAUUGCUAAACCCUUAACAAUAAACAAAGAUAAUAAAUGGAAGCAACAACUAACAAACUCCAUUUUCAUAUGGAACACGAUUACAUUUAACAUAUAAAAUAAGCUUUUUAAACCCCUAACUUACCCCUAGCGGAUGAGUGAAGUCUCGUAAAAUGAUACCCACAAACAUUCAUAUACAUUAAUCCCAACAAUUCAACAUCAUGCAAUCCAAUAUAGUCCCUAUACAUUAAUCCUGCCAAGUAUACCCAUCAACAUUGACUCUAGCAUCUUUUUAAGUGAACCGACAAUAUUCAACUAUGUUGCUUAACUUAGCAUAAACAAUGCAAAGAUCAAAAUCAGACCUCAAGCUAGAAAACAUCUCAAUUAUUAACUAUCAAGACUAUGAAUGACCCUUUAUUCACCUUUUCUUUUUCUUUUUCUUAAGCACUUAGGAUCAAAGAUGAGAGCAUUGUCCAAUGUAAAGAUAUCUUAAUCUUUUUAGAAGACUCAUGUAAUAAGUGUUGGGUCAAUGGCUACCAAACCAGAUGACUUUAAGGCAGUAGGUGUUAAGACACCCCAAAGGACUUAAUAACUCAAGCCAACUAGCUUACAAAUAAAAAUUUCUCUCAACUGUUCAUUUCCUAAACCCUUUACCUUUUGACAUGAGAGAAUAAUACUUAGUGAGACAAGAAUCCCUGUUACUCGAUAAAAGAGCAUUUAUUAUUUUAUUGGGUCUUUCACAUUUUGACACGAGAAUUCAAUACUUAAUGAGGAAAGAAUCCCGGUUACUUGGUAAAAAGGCUUUAUUAUUUAACAUGCAAGGUCAUCAUAUCAAGUAUGUUGAAUUCUCAAAGUCUACUAACUUAACUAAGAUAAAACCAAAGCAAUGAUCAACUAAGCAUAUACUCGACAAGAUGAAUGUUAGUGUGCGCCUGUGUAAGUAUAGUACUCUAUAAUCAAUCCUCAAGGCAUGAUUAACAUGAAAGGUGAUGUGGACCACAAAAGCAAGUAUGUCAAAAAGUUUGAAAUUAUCCCUAAAUGACGUCCUUAAGCAUACAAAAAGUAUUAUACUCUAAAAAAUUGCUAUGAAACGUUAUUCAUAUUUCACAAAGAUUGAGUCAUUGCUAAAUUUAGCUUUUAACUCUCAAAAUGCAUGAAAAGCUCAAACAAAUAUAAUAGAAUUUAAGAAAGUGACAUACCCACGAACUUAAACCAUACAUUGUACUCAAUGUGCAAUAAAGAUAAAAGAUAAGAUAGAGAGAUUAUAACAGCGUGGCAAAAAACCAGUGAAACGCUGGCAACAAAAUGAUCUAGCUGGAAGAAAGACACCCCCAAACUUGGAUUCAAAAACCUGCCUCAUUAAAGUACCACACUAACAUAACUCUCUUCAAUAUCAAAAUGGUAUAGGGAUAAGCACACAAUACAUACUAAAGCAAUAUGAAAUGUAAUAGAAGAGAGAGAGAGAGAAAAAAAAUAGGCCUUAGAUAUAACAGUGAAACAAGAAGGAUACAGAGAAUUAGCUUUAUCAGGCACAAACUAUCAACUUGAUAAACUAUUUAUGUCAAUGUAGCAAAAAUAAUCAAGUGACAAAUAUUUGACAGUAGCAAUAAAAAAUAAUACACAACCCCAAAUGUAUGGCUAGCGGACUAGCUAAUGAAAUAAUAACAUCACAGUGUAGCAUAGUCAAAAUAGUCUACCCAAAUGUAAGGAAAGAGAGAAUAUAUAUAAAUAAAGAGAUGUAGAGAAAGAGAAAGAUCAUCGAGUAAGCGGCUGGGAGUGUAAUGGAGCCCGGGUCUGGAGAUGAAGUAGAAUAUCACCCAUCAUGCUGUGUAUCUAAUCCUGAAAAUCCAUAAUAUCUCACCUUACCACCCCCGGAGCUGAAUAAUCUUCCCCUGAAGUUGAGCAAUCUCCCCCCAAAUGGUCAUAAUCAGCAUGGGGGAAUAUAAAGGGCUUCUCAUGAGUACAGUUUUCAGGGCUGUAGAGUCGGCAACUAGCUGCUUUGGAACAUCUGCAUCCCUCAUCUCAGGGUCCUGACCUGGAAUAGCUAUCGAAACUGGCACAUCCCCCUAAACCUUAGCUGUAUUAGCUAGAAAUAGCCUUGGUGCCCUCUAGCAUGCACUUCAUCCAAUCUGAGUUACUAUAAUGUAAUGAAAUUGAGAAGAAAGGUUCAUCCAAAUGAAAGGGGCAUUGCUAAUCAUCCAGGAUCUGUGCAAUGAGGUGGGCAUAUGGUAGGCUCCAAGCCUUGGCCAGUUUAAACUGUCUGGAAAUGAGCUCAUCCCAAUACUUAUGCAGGACACCCUAUAUAAGUGUUGGAACUGGAAACCAAUGACCUGUAGGAAUAGCAUAGAGAGUUGUUAAUAAAUUACAUCUCCACUAUAUCUUAUGGCCGGAGGGAAAUACAUUACAGUAGAGGACCGUGACAAGAAACCACAUCUAUUGUGGUAAGGUCUUCCUUGUAGCAUAAUUACCGUACCUAUCUGCAAACUCUAUACAUAAUAUUGAUCAUAUCUUGGACUAAGGGCCAUUUGAGAGGUGGGUAUACAAUCUGGGAUGCGUGGAUUGCCUCUAGGGAUCAUAGAGGCACCGACAAAACAACCUCAAUGGUAUUAAUGGUAAUAGCAAUAGGAUUCCCUGGUCCUGGUGGAUCACCUCUAUGGGUCUAGUCUGGAGUCACGUAGGGUCCACCUGGUCUUGGUGGAGAUACUGAAAUAACAAUCAGACAAGGUGAGGACAAAUCCGCUCAUGUACUGGAUGAAGCAUAGCAGAAAAGGCCCCGCCUGGUAAAUCUUGGCAUAUGCCCACUUGGUUUCAUUCCAACUAAAAAUAUAUGGCUUGUGGAAUGUUGUCUCGAGAGCUAACACCUUUUUCUCGAACUCCUCACUCAGUACCUCCCGGACUAUGUGAGUCGUAUGAGGAGUCGGUGAAGUCGGAGAACGAGAUGGUGAAAGGAUGGAGUAAACUCGGGAGAUGAAGAUGUUGUAGGCUCUCGAUUAUGGUCAGUUCUCAUCUUUCUUUGUCCAUUCUUUGGAGACAUGGUCUAUAAAAUAAGAAAUACUUGCAUGAUGCAUUAGUCCCCUGAAAUAGAAAGAUGUAUGAUUGCUUGAAAGACAUAUGGCAUGUGUGCAUAAAGAUGAAACAAUAAUUAAAUCAGUACAACAAGCAAGCCUAUGCAGGACGUACAUGUUGUAAAGAGAACUUUAAAUUCACAUUCCAUUUCAAAAAUUAAAAGCAUGAGAAUACACAAAGCAUGUUGACAUGAAAAUAUCCAUUUUCAACCCUUGGGAUGCCUUAACAAGCUAACAUGCAAGCAUGGAUGAGGUAAGAGAAUCAACAAGUGCAUAAGUUGGAAUUUAUGUGAAACUGGACACAAGUUAUCAUUUGAUAUGAAACUCAAAGCAUAGGGCAAGCAUUUUGGACAUGGAAGCACAAAGUCAUGAAAAUAUGGAAUUAUGGACCAAUGCAACCCCAAGAAUGACAAACCAAGGUCACAUCCCAUUAACGACCUCAUUUUGGAGAAUGAAGCAUGAAUGCUAAUCAUUAACCUAAGACGUGAGGAUGACAACCAUGAAUGUGACAAUGAGACCAACGACACUCAAAAACAUGCAUUUUUAUUUCUAUUUUUGACUUCAAAAUCACCAUGUUAGAAAAUGAGGUUCAAAGCCAAUCCUAAACAAUUCACAAGGUAAUAGAGGAGUUCUUAAAUUGAGAUUUUAACCUUCAAAACAAACAAUGUGUGGUCGUGAUAAUCUAAAACGAAAGUGGACUAUAGAUGAUGAAAUAGUGUAUGGAAAAUGCAACUAUGACAUUGGUUUACUAAGAUGACACUCAAUGUUCUAAACAAAGUAACCUUGAUAAUGCCCUAGACAAAUCUUAUGAACACAAGAGAGAAUGAAUGCUUCAUAGCUUGAAAAUAACAAUGUUGGAAGCCUUGUAACAUGAUCAUAACACAUCCUUCACAACACAAAUAAACCACAACUCCAUCUGCAAUAAUUCCCAUCCUCCAUUUAUUCUCAACAAACAACUAUGGUCACUUGAGGCAUGUGACCCCCUUAGCCUGAAUAGAAUCAAAUGAUUAGAGCAUGUGUAGAAAAAUAACUAAUUUUGAAAGCAUGUAUCAAUGAAGCAUUAAUUUGUAUAUAUGAAAAAUCAAGAGAUUGGAAUGAGAACAUCAUCUUAUCCACUUAUCAACACAAUGAACAACAAAAUCACAGCAUGAAUAAAUGAAUAUGAACAUGGAGAUGUCAAAACAAUGCGAAUGACAAUUGAAGUAAAAGAAAACAUGUAAUGAAUUAAGGUUUAUGUAAAGCAUUACCAUCAUCAUUAUGACAUUAUCACUUGUGGAAAGAUCACCACUAGAUCAUCUUCAUUAAAACCAUUUCCAUGAUAAGAAAUCAUCAUUAUUAUUCUUAUUUUUCAAUUCAAACUUCAGUAUCACAAAAUCCUCAAAAUUAAAGUUAAAACUGUCAUCAAUGUCACAAUUGAGCAUCAUCAACAUAUUUGUUUAUAUAGAAAUGAAAGUUGUGAAUAGUCCAUAUGAAUAUCCUUAUCAGACUCAUGGCAUUAGCAUCAUCAAUGACAGGCUUAACAUGAAAAUCACAGUAUUAAGUAUGGCCCUAACAUUGUCACAGAUGUACAAAUCCAAUAAAUAUUUAUCUUAAUAGUCAUAUGCACAAUAUAGAUCAUUAAAGUAACCAUUUGUGAGGGAAUAAGUAGCAUGAAAGAUCAUGAGAUGAUUGAGAAGAGUAUUAGAUCAUCACUUACCGAAGAGGGGGAACUUGGAUGCAAACCGAAGAGGAAAGAUGACAAUGUGUACCUAGAUGCAAUGAAAUGGACUUCAAAUGUUAGAUCUGGGCUCUAAUUGUGUGGGAAUGGAGAUUGACGAGCUUAGGGUUCGGGAGGAAGAAGAGAGAAAUGGACAGAAUGGAGGAAAUGGGUGCCGGAAGUGUUUUAAAACACUAUUGUUGCCGCCACGAUCGAUCGCGUUCGAGAUUUGAAUCAUGGGACCAAGGUACUUGUGAUCAAUCGUGAGCAUGGACUGUGAACGGUCGCGAAGAGUACCGAUUUUGGAAGUUUUCAAAAAAAUUUGAAGUGUUGGAUCGCGAUCGAUAAUGACCUAGCCUAUAAUUGAUUACAAAGAAGACUGAUUUUGGAGAAUUUCAAAAAAUUUAUAAGUGCUGGCUUGCGGUCGAUCAUGCUUACACGAAUGGUUCCUGUGAACGGUCAAAUGGGUGCCUGAAAUUUUGCUGCUUUAAAAUUUUUUCUCAGUGCAAAGCCGCGAUCGAUUGGGAGGGAGGACGCAAUGCGUAGUGCUCAAAAUUGAAAAAAAAAAAAAAAAAAAAAAAAAAAAAAAAACUAAAA